Molecule: transfer RNA, 74 nt
Filed under: Rhizoclosmatium globosum
Lineage: Eukaryota; Fungi; Chytridiomycota; Chytridiomycetes; Chytridiales; Chytriomycetaceae
Rfam family: tRNA
About the family: Transfer RNA (tRNA) molecules are approximately 80 nucleotides in length. Their secondary structure includes four short double-helical elements and three loops (D, anti-codon, and T loops).
Source: Rfam by way of RNAcentral
CGCUCGUUGGCUCAGCUGGUAGUAGCGUGGGGCUGUUAACCUCAAGGUCACUGGUUCGAUCCCAGAUCGAGCGU